RNAcentral lists this ribosomal RNA (2904 nucleotides) under Escherichia coli. RNAcentral describes it as "23S ribosomal RNA". It matches the Rfam family "Bacterial large subunit ribosomal RNA". The record is from RNAcentral. Lineage: Bacteria; Pseudomonadati; Pseudomonadota; Gammaproteobacteria; Enterobacterales; Enterobacteriaceae.
GGUUAAGCGACUAAGCGUACACGGUGGAUGCCCUGGCAGUCAGAGGCGAUGAAGGACGUGCUAAUCUGCGAUAAGCGUCGGUAAGGUGAUAUGAACCGUUAUAACCGGCGAUUUCCGAAUGGGGAAACCCAGUGUGAUUCGUCACACUAUCAUUAACUGAAUCCAUAGGUUAAUGAGGCGAACCGGGGGAACUGAAACAUCUAAGUACCCCGAGGAAAAGAAAUCAACCGAGAUUCCCCCAGUAGCGGCGAGCGAACGGGGAGCAGCCCAGAGCCUGAAUCAGUGUGUGUGUUAGUGGAAGCGUCUGGAAAGGCGUGCGAUACAGGGUGACAGCCCCGUACACAAAAAUGCACAUAUUGUGAGCUCGAUGAGUAGGGCGGGACACGUGGUAUCCUGUCUGAAUAUGGGGGGACCAUCCUCCAAGGCUAAAUACUCCUGACUGACCGAUAGUGAACCAGUACCGUGAGGGAAAGGCGAAAAGAACCCCGGCGAGGGGAGUGAAAAAGAACCUGAAACCGUGUACGUACAAGCAGUGGGAGCACGCUUAGGCGUGUGACUGCGUACCUUUUGUAUAAUGGGUCAGCGACUUAUAUUCUGUAGCAAGGUUAACCGAAUAGGGGAGCCGAAGGGAAACCGAGUCUUAACUGGGCGUUAAGUUGCAGGGUAUAGACCCGAAACCCGGUGAUCUAGCCAUGGGCAGGUUGAAGGUUGGGUAACACUAACUGGAGGACCGAACCGACUAAUGUUGAAAAAUUAGCGGAUGACUUGUGGCUGGGGGUGAAAGGCCAAUCAAACCGGGAGAUAGCUGGUUCUCCCCGAAAGCUAUUUAGGUAGCGCCUCGUGAAUUCAUCUCCGGGGGUAGAGCACUGUUUCGGCAAGGGGGUCAUCCCGACUUACCAACCCGAUGCAAACUGCGAAUACCGGAGAAUGUUAUCACGGGAGACACACGGCGGGUGCUAACGUCCGUCGUGAAGAGGGAAACAACCCAGACCGCCAGCUAAGGUCCCAAAGUCAUGGUUAAGUGGGAAACGAUGUGGGAAGGCCCAGACAGCCAGGAUGUUGGCUUAGAAGCAGCCAUCAUUUAAAGAAAGCGUAAUAGCUCACUGGUCGAGUCGGCCUGCGCGGAAGAUGUAACGGGGCUAAACCAUGCACCGAAGCUGCGGCAGCGACGCUUAUGCGUUGUUGGGUAGGGGAGCGUUCUGUAAGCCUGUGAAGGUGUGCUGUGAGGCAUGCUGGAGGUAUCAGAAGUGCGAAUGCUGACAUAAGUAACGAUAAAGCGGGUGAAAAGCCCGCUCGCCGGAAGACCAAGGGUUCCUGUCCAACGUUAAUCGGGGCAGGGUGAGUCGACCCCUAAGGCGAGGCCGAAAGGCGUAGUCGAUGGGAAACAGGUUAAUAUUCCUGUACUUGGUGUUACUGCGAAGGGGGGACGGAGAAGGCUAUGUUGGCCGGGCGACGGUUGUCCCGGUUUAAGCGUGUAGGCUGGUUUUCCAGGCAAAUCCGGAAAAUCAAGGCUGAGGCGUGAUGACGAGGCACUACGGUGCUGAAGCAACAAAUGCCCUGCUUCCAGGAAAAGCCUCUAAGCAUCAGGUAACAUCAAAUCGUACCCCAAACCGACACAGGUGGUCAGGUAGAGAAUACCAAGGCGCUUGAGAGAACUCGGGUGAAGGAACUAGGCAAAAUGGUGCCGUAACUUCGGGAGAAGGCACGCUGAUAUGUAGGUGAAGUCCCUCGCGGAUGGAGCUGAAAUCAGUCGAAGAUACCAGCUGGCUGCAACUGUUUAUUAAAAACACAGCACUGUGCAAACACGAAAGUGGACGUAUACGGUGUGACGCCUGCCCGGUGCCGGAAGGUUAAUUGAUGGGGUCAGCGCAAGCGAAGCUCUUGAUCGAAGCCCCGGUAAACGGCGGCCGUAACUAUAACGGUCCUAAGGUAGCGAAAUUCCUUGUCGGGUAAGUUCCGACCUGCACGAAUGGCGUAAUGAUGGCCAGGCUGUCUCCACCCGAGACUCAGUGAAAUUGAACUCGCUGUGAAGAUGCAGUGUACCCGCGGCAAGACGGAAAGACCCCGUGAACCUUUACUAUAGCUUGACACUGAACAUUGAGCCUUGAUGUGUAGGAUAGGUGGGAGGCUUUGAAGUGUGGACGCCAGUCUGCAUGGAGCCGACCUUGAAAUACCACCCUUUAAUGUUUGAUGUUCUAACGUUGACCCGUAAUCCGGGUUGCGGACAGUGUCUGGUGGGUAGUUUGACUGGGGCGGUCUCCUCCUAAAGAGUAACGGAGGAGCACGAAGGUUGGCUAAUCCUGGUCGGACAUCAGGAGGUUAGUGCAAUGGCAUAAGCCAGCUUGACUGCGAGCGUGACGGCGCGAGCAGGUGCGAAAGCAGGUCAUAGUGAUCCGGUGGUUCUGAAUGGAAGGGCCAUCGCUCAACGGAUAAAAGGUACUCCGGGGAUAACAGGCUGAUACCGCCCAAGAGUUCAUAUCGACGGCGGUGUUUGGCACCUCGAUGUCGGCUCAUCACAUCCUGGGGCUGAAGUAGGUCCCAAGGGUAUGGCUGUUCGCCAUUUAAAGUGGUACGCGAGCUGGGUUUAGAACGUCGUGAGACAGUUCGGUCCCUAUCUGCCGUGGGCGCUGGAGAACUGAGGGGGGCUGCUCCUAGUACGAGAGGACCGGAGUGGACGCAUCACUGGUGUUCGGGUUGUCAUGCCAAUGGCACUGCCCGGUAGCUAAAUGCGGAAGAGAUAAGUGCUGAAAGCAUCUAAGCACGAAACUUGCCCCGAGAUGAGUUCUCCCUGACUCCUUGAGAGUCCUGAAGGAACGUUGAAGACGACGACGUUGAUAGGCCGGGUGUGUAAGCGCAGCGAUGCGUUGAGCUAACCGGUACUAAUGAACCGUGAGGCUUAACCUU